RNAcentral lists this ribosomal RNA (231 nucleotides) under uncultured bacterium. RNAcentral describes it as "partial 16S ribosomal RNA". It matches the Rfam family "Bacterial small subunit ribosomal RNA", at positions 99 to 334 of the family's 1533-position model. The record is from RNAcentral.
CGGACGGGUGAGUAAUGUCUGGGAAACUGCCCGAUGGAGGGGGAUAACUACUGGAAACGGUAGCUAAUACCGCAUAACGUCGCAAGACCAAAGAGGGGGACCUUCGGGCCUCUUGCCAUCGGAUGUGCCCAGAUGGGAUUAGCUAGUGGUGGGGUAACGGCUCACCUAGGCGACGAUCCCUAGCUGGUCUGAGAGGAUGACCAGCCACACUGGAACUGAGACACGGCCCAG